RNAcentral lists this ribosomal RNA (521 nucleotides) under uncultured Pleosporales. Its description in RNAcentral is "eukaryotic LSU rRNA". The stretch from base 156 to 309 matches the Rfam family "5.8S ribosomal RNA". The record is from RNAcentral. Lineage: Eukaryota; Fungi; Ascomycota; Dothideomycetes; Pleosporales.
GGAGGAUCAUUAUCGUAGGGCUUCGGCCCUGUCGAGAUAGAACCCUUGCCUUUUUGAGUACCUUUCGUUUCCUCGGCAGGCUCGCCUGCCAAUGGGGACCACAAAAAACACUUUGCAGUACCUGUAACAGUCUGAACAAACAAAACAAAAAUUAAAACUUUCAACAACGGAUCUCUUGGUUCUGGCAUCGAUGAAGAACGCAGCGAAAUGCGAUAAGUAGUGUGAAUUGCAGAAUUCAGUGAAUCAUCGAAUCUUUGAACGCACAUUGCGCCCUUUGGUAUUCCUUAGGGCAUGCCUGUUCGAGCGUCAUUUAAACCUUCAAGCUAAGCUUGGUGUUGGGUGACUGUCCGCUUCACUGCGGACUCGCCUCAAAAUUAUUGGCGGCCGGUACAUUGGCUUCGAGCGCAGCAGAAACGCGAACUCGGGCCCGUCGUAUUGGCUCCCAGAAGCUAUCUUCACAAUUUUGACCUCGGAUCAGGUAGGGAUACCCGCUGAACUUAAGCAUAUCAAUAAGCUGAGGA